This 319-nucleotide long non-coding RNA is filed under the name Citrus sinensis (sweet orange). RNAcentral's name for it is "long non-coding RNA (CSIN_LNC003040)". The record is from RNAcentral. Lineage: Eukaryota; Viridiplantae; Streptophyta; Magnoliopsida; Sapindales; Rutaceae.
CCACACCACACUGGACACACAACACAUGGCAAGGGAGAUAUAGGCCGAAAAAGGGGUUUAGCAAAAAAGUCAUGCUCAGCCAUUUCCUUUUGUUAAAAGUUGUGGUCCAAGCCAAUAAUUUUGUGAGAAAUAGUAAUAAUGGCAGCCUGGCAGCCACCACUAAUAAUGGCAGCCUGGCAGCCACCACCAACUCAGUCCUUAACAGCCAAAUGUAAAAGGGUUUUUGUUUUGUUUUCUUUUCUUUUUGGUUGGAGUAAUUUGUUGUUUUAUUUGAUUAAUUAAAGUUGCGAUGUCAAUUGAAUGGGGUCGUAAGCCCUUU